This 432-nucleotide ribosomal RNA is filed under the name uncultured bacterium. Its description in RNAcentral is "bacterial SSU rRNA". It matches the Rfam family "Bacterial small subunit ribosomal RNA", at positions 527 to 1383 of the family's 1533-position model. The record is from RNAcentral.
GUAGGGAGCAAGCGUUGUCCGGAUUUACUGGGUGUAAAGGGUGCGUAGGCGGCUUUGCAAGUCAGAUGUGAAAUCUAUGGGCUCAACCCAUAAACUGCAUUUGAAACUGUAGAGCUUGAGUGAAGUAGAGGCAGGCGGAAUUCCCCGUGUAGCGGUGAAAUGCGUAGAGAUGGGGAGGAACACCAGUGGCGAAGGCGGCCUGCUGGGCUUUAACUGACGCUGAGGCACGAAAGCGUGGGUAGCAAACAGGAUUAGAUACCCUGGUAGUCCACGCUGUAAACGAUGAUUACUAGGUGUGGGGGGUCUGACCCCUUCCGUGCCGGAGUUAACACAAUAAGUAAUCCACCUGGGGAGUACGGCCGCAAGGUUGAAACUCAAAGGAAUUGACGGCCGUCAAUUCCUUUGAGUUUGCUGGUAUUACCGCGGCUGCUG